Molecule: long non-coding RNA, 669 nt
Organism: Astatotilapia calliptera (eastern happy)
Lineage: Eukaryota; Metazoa; Chordata; Actinopteri; Cichliformes; Cichlidae
Source: Ensembl
GUGAAGAGGAACGGGCGAGUGGUUCAGGGCUAUCCACCUAUCACAGAGGCACAGGAGGAACAUGAGGAAGAUGCGGAGCUGGAGGAGCUGGAGGAGCAAGAGGAGCAAGAGGCCGUGACCGUAUCUUUGUUAUCACAGCAGAAACGAGCAGUGAACCUCAGGGGGGCUGGUGAGAAGUCUCCAAUGUGCGGACCCAGCCAGAAGAGCGUGGCACAAAACUCUAGCAGGUCUCGGAGGAAGAUCCAGGAAAUUACUCUCAACACUUUAGAUCCUUCCAAUCUCAGCCCCAGGAUAGUGGAUGGUACUGAAGACAGUCAGGGGACAGAGAGCUCCCUGGCCUUCUCCUUCUCUAACCAAGGCCAUCCUGUCAGUGAACCAACCAGUGCCUCAGCACCAACCACAGAUAUGCUGCGCAUAAGCACAGCCGAAUUAGCAGCUAAAGCGGAGGAGACCAGAGGACAACUGCGACACCUCGAUCAACAGGUGAGCACCCUUCGGAGAGAAGUGGCCGACCUGGGGCAGGUCAUGAAGAGAAUGGCUCAACUCAUGGAGACCCUCAUGACGUCAGUGCCACAACCUGCAGUAGUCUGCCCCACACAUUACUCCCCAGCACGCCACACAUACCUACACCAUUCCCCCUCCCGUCAGACUUUCCCUUCACCAUUCCCC